RNAcentral lists this transfer RNA (73 nucleotides) under Myotis brandtii (Brandt's bat). It matches the Rfam family "tRNA". Rfam says of the family: Transfer RNA (tRNA) molecules are approximately 80 nucleotides in length. The record is from Rfam by way of RNAcentral. Lineage: Eukaryota; Metazoa; Chordata; Mammalia; Chiroptera; Vespertilionidae.
GUCAGUCUGGCUCAGCGGGUAGAGUGUCAGCCUUCAGACUGAAAGGUGUUGGGUUCAAUUCCAGUGAAGGGCA